RNAcentral lists this ribosomal RNA (214 nucleotides) under Starmerella bacillaris. Its description in RNAcentral is "partial large subunit ribosomal RNA". It matches the Rfam family "Eukaryotic large subunit ribosomal RNA", at positions 132 to 350 of the family's 3401-position model. Lineage: Eukaryota; Fungi; Ascomycota; Dipodascomycetes; Dipodascales; Trichomonascaceae. The record is from RNAcentral.
UUGAUGCACGUUGUAUUUCUGAAGUUAGGGUCUCUGAGAAACGAUGCUUAAGUCUUCUGGAAAGGAGCGCCAUGGAGGGUGAUAGUCCCCGUCUAGCAUAUGACCUCAUAUAGGAUCUUAACAUGGAGUACGAGUUGUUUGGGAAUGCAGCUCAAAUGGGUGGUAUGCUCCAUCUGAGCUAAAUAUCUGCGAGAGACCGAUAGUAAAAGAAGUA